This 569-nucleotide ribosomal RNA is filed under the name Leptosphaeria sp. NEFU28. RNAcentral describes it as "eukaryotic LSU rRNA". The stretch from base 201 to 354 matches the Rfam family "5.8S ribosomal RNA". Lineage: Eukaryota; Fungi; Ascomycota; Dothideomycetes; Pleosporales; Leptosphaeriaceae. The record is from RNAcentral.
UCCGUAGGUGAACCUGCGGAAGGAUCAUUACCUUUCAAUGCAGAAGAGUUGAGAUGGUUGAGUAUCUCGCCUCUCAAUUCUCGCUGUAUUUUACCCUUGUUUUUCUCAUACUAUUAUUUCCUCGGCAGGCUCGCCUGCCGGGUGAAAUAACUUCAAACCUGUUUAAUUUUCAAUCAGCGUCUGAACAAAUUAAUAAUUACAACUUUCAACAACGGAUCUCUUGGUUCUGGCAUCGAUGAAGAACGCAGCGAAAUGCGAUAAGUAGUGUGAAUUGCAGAAUUCAGUGAAUCAUCGAAUCUUUGAACGCACAUUGCGCCCCUUGGUAUUCCAUGGGGCAUGCCUGUUCGAGCGUCAUUUGUACCUUCAAGCUCUGCUUGGUGUUGGGUGUUUGUCCUUGCUCUAGUGGCGGGACUCGCCUUAAAGUAAUUGGCAGCCAGUGUUUUGGUUUUGAAGCGCAGCACAAGUCGCGAUUCAAGUCUAUACGCUAGUUUCCACAAGUCUUUUAUCACUUUUGACCUCGGAUCAGGUAGGGAUACCCGCUGAACUUAAGCAUAUCAAUAAGCGGAGGA